AAAGCGUGCGCAGGCGGUUAUGCAAGACAGAUGUGAAAUCCCCGGGCUCAACCUGGGAACUGCAUUUGUGACUGCAUAGCUAGAGUACGGUAGAGGGGGAUGGAAUUCCGCGUGUAGCAGUGAAAUGCGUAGAUAUGCGGAGGAACACCGAUGGCGAAGGCAAUCCCCUGGACCUGUACUGACGCUCAUGCACGAAAGCGUGGGGAGCAAACAGGAUUAGAUACCCCUGU
RNAcentral lists this ribosomal RNA (230 nucleotides) under uncultured bacterium. RNAcentral describes it as "partial 16S ribosomal RNA". It matches the Rfam family "Bacterial small subunit ribosomal RNA", at positions 562 to 791 of the family's 1533-position model. The record is from RNAcentral.